RNAcentral lists this ribosomal RNA (251 nucleotides) under uncultured bacterium. Its description in RNAcentral is "partial 16S ribosomal RNA". It matches the Rfam family "Bacterial small subunit ribosomal RNA", at positions 524 to 776 of the family's 1533-position model. The record is from RNAcentral.
UACGAAGGGGGCUAGCGUUGCUCGGAAUUACUGGGCGUAAAGCGCACGUAGGCGGCUUUCUAAGUCGGGGGUGAAAUCCUGGAGCUCAACUCCAGAACUGCCUUCGAUACUGGAGCUUGAGUCCGGGAGAGGUGAGUGGAACUGCGAGUGUAGAGGUGAAAUUCGUAGAUAUUCGCAAGAACACCAGUGGCGAAGGCGGCUCACUGGCCCGGUACUGACGCUGAGGUGCGAAAGCAUGGGGAGCAAACAGG